GGGUUGUGAGGUUAAGCGACUAAGCGUACACGGUGGAUGCCCUGGCAGUCAGAGGCGAUGAAGGACGUGCUAAUCUGCGAUAAGCGUCGGUAAGGUGAUAUGAACCGUUAUAACCGGCGAUUUCCGAAUGGGGAAACCCAGUGUGUUUCGACACACUAUCAUUAACUGAAUCCAUAGGUUAAUGAGGCGAACCGGGGGAACUGAAACAUCUAAGUACCCCGAGGAAAAGAAAUCAACCGAGAUUCCCCCAGUAGCGGCGAGCGAACGGGGAGGAGCCCAGAGUCUGAAUCAGUGUGUGUGUUAGUGGAAGCGUCUGGAAAGGCGUGCGAUACAGGGUGACAGCCCCGUACACAAAAAUGCACAUAUUGUGAGCUCGAUGAGUAGGGCGGGACACGUGGUAUCCUGUCUGAAUAUGGGGGGACCAUCCUCCAAGGCUAAAUACUCCUGACUGACCGAUAGUGAACCAGUACCGUGAGGGAAAGGCGAAAAGAACCCCGGCGAGGGGAGUGAAAAAGAACCUGAAACCGUGUACGUACAAGCAGUGGGAGCCUCUUAAUGGGGUGACUGCGUACCUUUUGUAUAAUGGGUCAGCGACUUAUAUUCUGUAGCAAGGUUAACCGAAUAGGGGAGCCGAAGGGAAACCGAGUCUUAACUGGGCGUUAAGUUGCAGGGUAUAGACCCGAAACCCGGUGAUCUAGCCAUGGGCAGGUUGAAGGUUGGGUAACACUAACUGGAGGACCGAACCGACUAAUGUUGAAAAAUUAGCGGAUGACUUGUGGCUGGGGGUGAAAGGCCAAUCAAACCGGGAGAUAGCUGGUUCUCCCCGAAAGCUAUUUAGGUAGCGCCUCGUGAAUUCAUCUCCGGGGGUAGAGCACUGUUUCGGCAAGGGGGUCAUCCCGACUUACCAACCCGAUGCAAACUGCGAAUACCGGAGAAUGUUAUCACGGGAGACACACGGCGGGUGCUAACGUCCGUCGUGAAGAGGGAAACAACCCAGACCGCCAGCUAAGGUCCCAAAGUCAUGGUUAAGUGGGAAACGAUGUGGGAAGGCCCAGACAGCCAGGAUGUUGGCUUAGAAGCAGCCAUCAUUUAAAGAAAGCGUAAUAGCUCACUGGUCGAGUCGGCCUGCGCGGAAGAUGUAACGGGGCUAAACCAUGCACCGAAGCUGCGGCAGCGACACUAUGUGUUGUUGGGUAGGGGAGCGUUCUGUAAGCCUGUGAAGGUGGCCUGUGAGGGUUGCUGGAGGUAUCAGAAGUGCGAAUGCUGACAUAAGUAACGAUAAAGCGGGUGAAAAGCCCGCUCGCCGGAAGACCAAGGGUUCCUGUCCAACGUUAAUCGGGGCAGGGUGAGUCGACCCCUAAGGCGAGGCCGAAAGGCGUAGUCGAUGGGAAACAGGUUAAUAUUCCUGUACUUGGUGUUACUGCGAAGGGGGGACGGAGAAGGCUAUGUUGGCCGGGCGACGGUUGUCCCGGUUUAAGCGUGUAGGCUGGUUUUCCAGGCAAAUCCGGAAAACCAAGGCUGAGGCGUGAUGACGAGGCACUACGGUGCUGAAGCGACAAAUGCCCUGCUUCCAGGAAAAGCCUCUAAGCAUCAGGUAACAUCAAAUCGUACCCCAAACCGACACAGGUGGUCAGGUAGAGAAUACCAAGGCGCUUGAGAGAACUCGGGUGAAGGAACUAGGCAAAAUGGUGCCGUAACUUCGGGAGAAGGCACGCUGAUAUGUAGGUGAAGCGACUUGCUCGUGGAGCUGAAAUCAGUCGAAGAUACCAGCUGGCUGCAACUGUUUAUUAAAAACACAGCACUGUGCAAACACGAAAGUGGACGUAUACGGUGUGACGCCUGCCCGGUGCCGGAAGGUUAAUUGAUGGGGUUAGCGGUAACGCGAAGCUCUUGAUCGAAGCCCCGGUAAACGGCGGCCGUAACUAUAACGGUCCUAAGGUAGCGAAAUUCCUUGUCGGGUAAGUUCCGACCUGCACGAAUGGCGUAAUGAUGGCCAGGCUGUCUCCACCCGAGACUCAGUGAAAUUGAACUCGCUGUGAAGAUGCAGUGUACCCGCGGCAAGACGGAAAGACCCCGUGAACCUUUACUAUAGCUUGACACUGAACAUUGAGCCUUGAUGUGUAGGAUAGGUGGGAGGCUUUGAAGUGUGGACGCCAGUCUGCAUGGAGCCGACCUUGAAAUACCACCCUUUAAUGUUUGAUGUUCUAACGUUGGCCCGUAAUCCGGGUUGCGGACAGUGUCUGGUGGGUAGUUUGACUGGGGCGGUCUCCUCCUAAAGAGUAACGGAGGAGCACGAAGGUUGGCUAAUCCUGGUCGGACAUCAGGAGGUUAGUGCAAUGGCAUAAGCCAGCUUGACUGCGAGCGUGACGGCGCGAGCAGGUGCGAAAGCAGGUCAUAGUGAUCCGGUGGUUCUGAAUGGAAGGGCCAUCGCUCAACGGAUAAAAGGUACUCCGGGGAUAACAGGCUGAUACCGCCCAAGAGUUCAUAUCGACGGCGGUGUUUGGCACCUCGAUGUCGGCUCAUCACAUCCUGGGGCUGAAGUAGGUCCCAAGGGUAUGGCUGUUCGCCAUUUAAAGUGGUACGCGAGCUGGGUUUAGAACGUCGUGAGACAGUUCGGUCCCUAUCUGCCGUGGGCGCUGGAGAACUGAGGGGGGCUGCUCCUAGUACGAGAGGACCGGAGUGGACGCAUCACUGGUGUUCGGGUUGUCAUGCCAAUGGCACUGCCCGGUAGCUAAAUGCGGAAGAGAUAAGUGCUGAAAGCAUCUAAGCACGAAACUUGCCCCGAGAUGAGUUCUCCCUGACUCCUUGAGGGUCCUGAAGGAACGUUGAAGACGACGACGUUGAUAGGCCGGGUGUGUAAGCGCAGCGAUGCGUUGAGCUAACCGGUACUAAUGAACCGUGAGGCUUAACCUUACAACGCCGAAG
Molecule: ribosomal RNA, 2925 nt
Filed under: Escherichia coli
Lineage: Bacteria; Pseudomonadati; Pseudomonadota; Gammaproteobacteria; Enterobacterales; Enterobacteriaceae
Description: 23S ribosomal RNA
Rfam family: Bacterial large subunit ribosomal RNA
Source: RNAcentral